UAAACCUAAAUUAAUAUUAUAUUACAUAAUUUUCUCUUUCUUCUCUCUCUUUCAUCAUUUUUUCUUAACUUUUAUCAUGCAUUCAAAAACUAAUCCUUGCAGUACGUUGUGGCAUUUAUUCACUUCUUUUUUUUUUUUCUUUUUUUUUUCUUUUCCUUUUGAAGUAACCCUUCUUCUCCUUUCCCUUAUAUUUUCCAUCAACACAGUACCCAUUCUUCUUCCUUCUGCAUAAUACAUGGAAUUAGUACCCUUUUUUUUUUCCUUAUUUAUUAUUAAUACCUUAAUAACCCAACCCAGCAUCUUUAUUCUCACUCAUGUCCUCCUCUUACUCACCCAUAACCUACAACGUUAACUAUUCCCACUGUCAGUAUCCCUAUAUCCCCUUCCUUUUUUUUUUUUUAUAUACUACCACUCAAAACUCCUACUAUUACCAAUAUUCCAACCCCAAAGUUAUCUCCCUCAACUCAAUCCCCCUUCACCAUAGGACCCGAGACAUGCACUAUCCUACUCCCCCAUAAGUCUUCUUGGCAUAUUAAAAUCAAAACCCUUUUCUUCCCAAAUCAAACUUUAUUCUUUUCUUCAACUAAUCUAGCAAUCUCUAACUUCAUUCUAUUGUUUUUCUGCACUUUGUUUCGUCUUCUCUUUUCUCUCCUAUCAUGGACAAACACUCCUCUCACCCUCCUGCUCACUCCAUUUUUUGUCACUCUCGUUUAUUCACUGUAACUACUCCAGUCUGCCUAAUGUAGCACUGUGUCACUCAUAACUAAAGCGAAUAAAGGAUAUCACAGUCCUAUACGAAUCAAAUAAAACAAUUAGAAUAUCAACGAUGCACGACAUGCGCACCACACC
RNAcentral lists this long non-coding RNA (849 nucleotides) under Vigna radiata. Its description in RNAcentral is "long non-coding RNA (VRAD_LNC010441)". Lineage: Eukaryota; Viridiplantae; Streptophyta; Magnoliopsida; Fabales; Fabaceae. The record is from RNAcentral.